RNAcentral lists this ribosomal RNA (705 nucleotides) under Absidia caerulea. RNAcentral's name for it is "eukaryotic LSU rRNA". It matches the Rfam family "Eukaryotic large subunit ribosomal RNA", at positions 66 to 669 of the family's 3401-position model. Lineage: Eukaryota; Fungi; Mucoromycota; Mucoromycetes; Mucorales; Cunninghamellaceae. The record is from RNAcentral.
UAACAAUGAUUCCCCUAGUAACGGCGAGUGAACAGGGAAAAGCUCAAAGUUGGAACCUCCUGGUCCUAGAUUAGGCGGAUUGUAAACUAAAGCUCUUGGGUAGUACGGUUGGCCUGAUAAAAAAGUUCUCUGGAAAGAGGCGACAUAGAGGGUGAUAUCCCCGUCUUUGGUCAGAGCUCAAUCAUGCGUUUGCCCUUUAGCGAAGAGUCAGGUUGUUUGGGAAUGCAGCCUAAAAUGGGAGGUAAAUCUCUCCUAAAGCUAAAUAUUGACGAAAGACCGAUAGCGAACAAGUACCGUGAGGGAAAGAUGAAAAGCACUUUGAAAAGAGGGUCAAAAAGUACGUGAAAUUGCUGAAAGGGAACCGUAUGAAAUCAGUCUGAUGUGUUGGUAAUCAAUCUGGAUCUCGAUCUGGAUGCACUUGCCGAUGUAUUAGCCUGCGACAGUUUGAUCUGGAGGAAAAAAGAUGGGAGAAUGUGGCCUUGGCUUCGGUUAAGGUGUUAUAGCUCCUGUCAAAAUACUUUGGAUUGGACUGAGGACUGCAGCGAGCCGCAAGGUAAAGGUCUCGGGCGCUUGUUCUGGCUAUGUAAGAAAUCUCUGCUUCGGGUGGUAUCUUGCCUAAUCGGGACAACACGCUUGUUUCUCUUUUUUCUCGCUUAGGUCGUAGGCAUAAUGAUUUUAUAUGACCCGUCUUGAAACACGGACCAA